Molecule: non-coding RNA, 29 nt
Filed under: Mus musculus (house mouse)
Lineage: Eukaryota; Metazoa; Chordata; Mammalia; Rodentia; Muridae
Source: RNAcentral
UUGACCAACGUUUGCCAUUUCACAGCGGC